GACGAACGCUGGCGGCGUGCUUAACACAUGCAAGUCGAACGGAAAGGCCCAGCUUGCUGGGUGCUCGAGUGGCGAACGGGUGAGUAACACGUGGGUGAUCUGCCUCUAACUUCGGGAAAAGCUUGGGAAACUGGGUCUAAUACCGGAUAGGACAAUCGUUUAGUGUCGGUUGUGGAAAGUUUUUUCGGUUAGGGAUGAGCCCGCGGCCUAUCAGCUUGUUGGUGGGGUAAUGGCCUACCAAGGCGUCGACGGGUAGCCGGCCUGAGAGGGUGGACGGCCACAUUGGGACUGAGAUACGGCCCAGACUCCUACGGGAGGCAGCAGUGGGGAAUAUUGCACAAUGGGCGCAAGCCUGAUGCAGCGACGCCGCGUGGGGGAUGACGGCCUUCGGGUUGUAAACCUCUUUCGACAGGGACGAAGCUUUGGUGACGGUACCUGUAUAAGAAGCACCGGCUAACUACGUG
RNAcentral lists this ribosomal RNA (464 nucleotides) under uncultured bacterium. Its description in RNAcentral is "partial 16S ribosomal RNA". It matches the Rfam family "Bacterial small subunit ribosomal RNA", at positions 28 to 507 of the family's 1533-position model. The record is from RNAcentral.